This 840-nucleotide small RNA is filed under the name Pongo abelii (Sumatran orangutan). Its description in RNAcentral is "processed transcript". Lineage: Eukaryota; Metazoa; Chordata; Mammalia; Primates; Hominidae. The record is from RNAcentral.
GGCGGACCUGUGAGGGAACCCGACUUGCUGGCAGAACUUACGCUGCGGCACCCCGGGCACUGUUGCUGCUGCGGUAGAUAUUCAAGAGAAGCUUAUGUGGAGUUAGUUCACCAUGUUAGAGAAUCUAUUCCAGGUGUGAGCCUCAGCAGCGACUUCAUUGCUGGCUUUUGUGGUGAGACGGAGGAAGAUCACAUUCAGACAGUCUCUUUGCUCCGGGAAGUUCAGUACAACAUGGGCUUCCUCUUUGCCUACAGCAUGAGACAGAAGACACGGGCAUAUCAUAGGCUGAAGGACGAUGUUCCGAAAGAGGUAAAAUUAAGACGUUUGGAGGAACUUAUCACUGUCUUCCGAGAAGAAGCAACAAAAGCCAAUCAGACCUCUGUGGGCUGUACCCAGUUGGUGCUAGUGGAAGGGCUCAGUAAACGCUCUGCCACUGACCUGUGUGGCAGGAAUGAUGGAAACCUUAAGGUGAUCUUCCCUGAUGCAGAGAUGGAGGAUGUCAAUAACCCUGGGCUCAGGGUCAGAGCCCAGCCUGGGGACUACGUGCUGGUGAAGAUCACCUCGGCCAGCUCUCAGACACUUAGGGGACAUGUUCUCUGCAGGACCACUCUGAGGGACUCCUCUGCAUAUUGCUGACCUGAGAAGAUGGCCUCAGAGCUGACUUGGGCAGUCCUCCCCAACAGGAAGGGGAGACAUUGCUGGCCACUGAGGAAAGAGGUCAUGAAGGUGGAGAUAAGAUGCAAGGGGCGAAGCAACUUUAUGUCAGUGGAAAACGUGUCUCUUUAAAGCUGCUAUGUGAACAGCUUUUACAGUCAUUAAAUUUACCUAAACUAAAGUUAA